This 46-nucleotide non-coding RNA is filed under the name unclassified sequences. RNAcentral describes it as "SAM-SAH-Weickhmann-2018 RNA". It matches the Rfam family "SAM/SAH riboswitch aptamer". The record is from RNAcentral.
CCGCCACAACGGCUUCCUGGCGUGGCGGGGAUUAACCGGCGGAGCA